Molecule: long non-coding RNA, 397 nt
Filed under: Mytilus galloprovincialis (Mediterranean mussel)
Lineage: Eukaryota; Metazoa; Mollusca; Bivalvia; Mytilida; Mytilidae
Source: RNAcentral
UGCGCCGUUAAAACUGGUGUCGAUUAUACUGUCGUUAAGCACCAGCAAAACAACGGAUAAUUAAAUUAAAUUAUCGUAUUAUCUUAUAACAAAGUUUACAAAAUUGCAUGUGCCUGUUAAAUCAUUUAGCCAUUACUCGACUGACUAAAGAUACAUUUCAAUGGUUUCUUGUUGGUCGAGUAGCCAGGGCCCUGGACACAGUGUAAGCUACGAUGUCACAGAGAUAGGGUUUCGAAUCACGCGGAGGGAUGAAUAAUAUUUUGCUGAACUAACAUUGUUGGGUUGAAAUAAACAUACAUUCAUAUGGACAUUAUAUAUUAACCUUGUAUGUAAAUGGGCAAUCCGAUAUAGUACAUUGUACGUCUGUUGUAAACAAACUCAUCAUAGAUAUCAGGAC